AUUCAUGGUAUUAGUAUGCAAUUUGAGACUAUCAUAUGUUCUCUCUGGAGAAAACCAAAGUUUGAUUCACUGUUUUGUGUCUUUGAAAGUGAAUGGAAGGGAAGGUUUGGCUCCCAUGGUCUUUUAUCAGCAAGUUAAUUUUGAAUCACCCAAGAAAAUCAAAGGCGGCAUAAGGAAGGGAAGAAUGUAUCAGUCGCACAGAAGCAGCAAUACUGCUCUGAAGGAAUGAUGAAAUGUGCUUUAUCCUGGCGGUGACCGCAGCUGCUUCACUAUGGGAAAAACUGAGAAGUUGCCCUGACUUACCAUCUGCCACGUUCUGCAGUGGAAGCUGGCCAUGUAGGCCAACCCAAUGUGUGGUUUGAGUUUUCGUUCUGUUUUGUUUUCUUGGGAUCUCGGCACUUGCAUUUUAAAGAAAUUAUCAAGUUAAAGCACAGAUCUUGGUGUUCGUGGGUCUGCUUGUGUGGGCAUGUGCUAUCCUCAGCCUCAUAUGGCUUUGAGCAUUCCUGAAAAAGCCUUUGAUCUGAGUUAGGAUGUUCAGUAUUUCGGAGGACGUGGUACUUGAGGGUACAAACUGUUUAGGAAAUGAGACAGAACUGCAUUUUUACAAGGUUAAGUAGGAAUUGGGAAUGUGCUUCAUGUGCAUUGAGAGGCGCUGGGAACAUCAAAGCGCUCUGUCCCAGAUUGAUUAUUUCAACCACAUGAAUAGGCCACACUGAAUUUACCAUUCAGAUGAGGUAUUUGCACGCAUACGUGCUUUUUGUGAAAGAGGUGGGUUUGUGCACACUGGUUGGUAAUAGCGCGCGUGACUCAAGCUUGUUUUGCAACCGACACUGCACAGCACAGAUUUAUGCCCCCAUAACCCAUACUGUUCAUACCCAAGUACCCAUUUGUGAAGGCAGGGAGAUGUGAAUGUGGGCACAAGACCUGUGCAUAAGGGAUCAUAUGGGUACAUCCAUUCCUCCUUUGACUAAAGGCUUGCACACAGCACUGUUGAACUCAGUGGCAAUACUCGUGUUGUCCUGGAUGGGAGCAGCCAUGGGUACUGCUCCCUCAAACUGUCCCUCACAGGGUAAUGCACUUUCAGUUUCAAUAACUGUUUUAUGACUUGUAUUUCUUCUUUUUUUUUCUUUUUUUUUUUUUUUAAUGUUGAGCUAACUGCUAGAAUGUGCUCUUUUUACAAUGCUUAGUCGCCCAGUAAUUCCAGAUAUCCUUUGAAAGGAGGCAGAAGGAUAAUAAACUGUGGAAUCCCAAACCA
RNAcentral lists this long non-coding RNA (1255 nucleotides) under Calidris pugnax (ruff). RNAcentral describes it as "lncRNA (ENSCPUG00000003029.1)". Lineage: Eukaryota; Metazoa; Chordata; Aves; Charadriiformes; Scolopacidae. The record is from RNAcentral.